UGGAGCUGAGACACAGAACCUACUCCUGCGGGAGGCCGCGAUGGCGAAUAUUGGACAAUGGGGGCAACCCUGAUCCACCCAUGCCGCGUGUGUGCACAAGGCCUGAGGGUUGCACACCUAUUUCAGCGGGGAUGAGGGUUUAUAGGUUAAGAUCUAAUUAACUGGACGUUACCCACUUAAGAAGCACCGGCUAACACCGUACCAGCAGCCGCGGUAAUACGGAGGGUGCGAGCGUUAAUCGGAAUUACUGGGCGUAAAGGGUGCGCAGGUGGUUGAUUAAGUUAUCUGUGAAAUUCCUGGGCUUAACCUGGGACGGUCAGAUAAUACUGGUUGACUCGAGUAUGGGAGAGGGUAGUGGAAUUUCCGGUGUAGCGGUGAAAUGCGUAUAGCUCGGACGGAACACCAUUGGCUAAGGCGGCUACCUGGCCUAAUACUGAAACUGAGGCACGAAAGCGUGGUGAGCGAACAUGAUUCAAAUACCUGGUAUUCCGCGCUGGAAGCCAUGUCAACUAGCUUUUGGUUAUAUGAAUGUAAUUAAUGGCGAAGCAAACUCGCAUAACUGUACCGCUUGUGGGGUACGAUCGCAUAAUUAUAACUCANAAGAAUUUACUGGGGUCCGCCCACGACAGUGAAUCAUGUAGGUUAUAUUUGUUUGAUCGCAAAGAACAUUACUUACCAUUGACUCACUUCAAUUUUGUAUAGAUCCCUUAGUCCUGACGGGA
This 722-nucleotide ribosomal RNA is filed under the name uncultured Legionella sp. RNAcentral describes it as "bacterial SSU rRNA". It matches the Rfam family "Bacterial small subunit ribosomal RNA", at positions 314 to 1026 of the family's 1533-position model. The record is from RNAcentral. Lineage: Bacteria; Pseudomonadati; Pseudomonadota; Gammaproteobacteria; Legionellales; Legionellaceae.